RNAcentral lists this ribosomal RNA (301 nucleotides) under uncultured bacterium. RNAcentral describes it as "partial 16S ribosomal RNA". It matches the Rfam family "Bacterial small subunit ribosomal RNA", at positions 509 to 807 of the family's 1533-position model. The record is from RNAcentral.
CAGCAGCCACGGUAAUACGUAGGGUGCGAGCGUUAAUCGGAAUUACUGGGCGUAAAGCGUGCGCAGGCGGUUUUGUAAGACAGGCGUGAAAUCCCCGGGCUCAACCUGGGAAUGGCGCUUGUGACUGCAAAGCUAGAGUGCGGCAGAGGGGGAUGGAAUUCCGCGUGUAGCAGUGAAAUGCGUAGAUAUGCGGAGGAACACCGAUGGCGAAAGCACUCUGCUGGGCCGACACUGACACUGAGAGACGAAAGCUAGGGGAGCAAAUGGGAUUAGAUACCCCCGUAGUCCCUGUCUCUUAUAC